RNAcentral lists this ribosomal RNA (443 nucleotides) under uncultured Candidatus Scalindua sp. Its description in RNAcentral is "bacterial SSU rRNA". It matches the Rfam family "Bacterial small subunit ribosomal RNA", at positions 565 to 1002 of the family's 1533-position model. The record is from RNAcentral. Lineage: Bacteria; Pseudomonadati; Planctomycetota; Candidatus Brocadiia; Candidatus Brocadiales; Candidatus Scalinduaceae.
GAGCACGUAGGUGGGUUUGUUACCCAGAUGUGAAAGCCUUUCGUUCAACGGAAGAAUUGCAUCUGAAACUACAAACCUUGAGUAUAGGAGGGGAGAGUGGAACUUCUGGUGGAGCGGUGAAAUGCGUAGAUAUCAGAAGGAACGCCGGCGGCGAAAGCGACUCUCUGGCCUAUAACUGACACUGAGUGUGCGAAAGCUAGGGGAGCAAACGGGAUUAGAUACCCCGGUAGUCCUAGCCGUAAACGAUGGGCACUAAGUAGGGGGAACUACCGAUGUUCUCUCUGCCGUAGCAAACGCAUUAAGUGCCCCGCCUGGGGAGUACGGCCGCAAGGCUAAAACUCAAAAGAAUUGACGGGGGCUCGCACAAGCGGUGGAGCAUGUGGCUUAAUUCGAUGCAACGCGAAAAACCUUACCGGGGCUUGACAUGGUAGAAGUAGGAACCC